CUGGGCGUAAGCGUGCGUAGGUGGUUUGUUAAGUCAGAUGUGAAAGCCCCGGGCUCAACCUGGGAACUGCAUUUGAAACUGGCAAACUAGAGUAUAGGAGAGGAAAGUGGAAUUUCAGGUGUAGCGGUGAAAUGCGUAGAUAUCUGAAGGAACAUCAAUGGCGAAGGCAGCUUUCUGGACUAAUACUGACACUGAGGUACGAAAGCGUGGGUAGCAAACAGGAUUAGAUACCCUGGUAGUCCACGCCGUAAACGAUGACAACUAGCCGUUGGGAGGGUUUACCUCUUAGUGGCGAAGCUAACGCGUUAAGUUGUCCGCCUGGGGAGUACGGCCGCAAGGUUAAAACUCAAAGGAAAUUGACGGA
This 364-nucleotide ribosomal RNA is filed under the name uncultured Gammaproteobacteria bacterium. RNAcentral describes it as "bacterial SSU rRNA". It matches the Rfam family "Bacterial small subunit ribosomal RNA", at positions 554 to 917 of the family's 1533-position model. Lineage: Bacteria; Pseudomonadati; Pseudomonadota; Gammaproteobacteria. The record is from RNAcentral.